RNAcentral lists this ribosomal RNA (253 nucleotides) under uncultured bacterium. RNAcentral describes it as "partial 16S ribosomal RNA". It matches the Rfam family "Bacterial small subunit ribosomal RNA", at positions 524 to 776 of the family's 1533-position model. The record is from RNAcentral.
UACGAAGGGGGCUAGCGUUGCUCGGAAUCACUGGGCGUAAAGCGCACGUAGGCGGAUUGUUAAGUCAGGGGUGAAAUCCUGGAGCUCAACUCCAGAACUGCCUUUGAUACUGGCGAUCUCGAGUCCGGGAGAGGCGAGUGGAACUGCGAGUGUAGAGGUGAAAUUCGUAGAUAUUCGCAAGAACACCAGUGGCGAAGGCGGCUCACUGGCCCGGUACUGACGCUGAGGUGCGAAAGCGUGGGGAGCAAACAGG